This 443-nucleotide ribosomal RNA is filed under the name uncultured bacterium. RNAcentral describes it as "partial 16S ribosomal RNA". It matches the Rfam family "Bacterial small subunit ribosomal RNA", at positions 338 to 795 of the family's 1533-position model. The record is from RNAcentral.
CCUACGGGGGGCAGCAGUGGGGAAUAUUGGACAAUGGGGGGAACUCUGAUCCAGCGACGCCGCGUGAGUGAAGAAGUAUUUCGGUAUGUAAAGCUCUAUCAGCAGGGAAGAAAGCAAUGACGGUACCUUACUAAGAAGCCCCGGCUAACUACGUGCCAGCAGCCGCGGUAAUACGUAGGGGGCAAGCGUUAUCCGGAUUUACUGGGUGUAAAGGGAGCGUAGGCGGCGAGGCAAGUAUGAAGUGAAAGGCGGGGGCCCAACCCCCGGACUGCUUUUGAAACUGUAGGGCUGGAGUGCAGGAGAGGGAAGUGGAAUUCCUAGUGUAGCGGUGAAAUGCGUAGAUAUUAGGAGGAACACCAGUGGCGAAGGCGGCUUACUGGACUGUAACUGACAUUGAGGCACGAAAGCGUGGGGAGCAAACAGGAUUAGAUACCCCUGUAGUC